RNAcentral lists this non-coding RNA (18 nucleotides) under Arabidopsis thaliana (thale cress). Lineage: Eukaryota; Viridiplantae; Streptophyta; Magnoliopsida; Brassicales; Brassicaceae. The record is from RNAcentral.
GGAAUCGAUGCCCAUGGG